Orbicella faveolata is the source of this 3040-nucleotide long non-coding RNA. NCBI's taxonomy places the organism in Eukaryota, Metazoa, Cnidaria, Anthozoa, Scleractinia, Merulinidae. The record is from RefSeq and is a predicted model, not a curated record.
AACAUUUCUGUUGUUUUUCUGUUUCUUUACCUCAAUAAAAACUCAAAGAUGACACCAACUUGUCCCAACUUGUCCCAAGAGAAUAUUUUCCAGUCAAGACCAGAAUAGUUUUUUUUAUAUUGACAUGUAAAUCUGUCACAGUCUUACAUGUACUGUGUUUGACCUUGCAUUUUUUAUCACUCCUUGCAGUUCGAUCACGCACACUUCUUCAGGUACAAGAGGAGUACACUGAGGAACUCCCAGACACAACACAAUUUAAUCUGAACAGCUCUGAUUAUCUGAAGGCAGCAUCUCCCCUCCCAUCACAAAACAUGCCAUCACUUGGGGAAGUUACACUAGAGGUUUCUGAGAUUGAGAGAAAGAGUCAAGAAAAUAAAAUAAAAACUCAAAAGCGGUAAUUUUUGGCUAUGGAACAUGCAAAGCUGUGUAAAUAAGACAUAAAAUGUAAUUUAGAUUAGUUGUUUGUAUUAUAAAAUAUUGUCCGUUGCAACGAUAUGUCACUUGACAUUUUGUGUGUGCAAGGAUUCUGGUUCAUUUUUGACAUCUCACUGACAGCACUUUGAUGGGUUUUGUAUGGUUUAACCAAUUAAAUUAUAAGACUGAUCAGAGUGAAGUUUAGGUGACAAGUGUCAUAUUUCCUGCAAGAACAUGUUUCUAUUGCAACUCUAACCCCACCAAGUGAAUCAGGAUUGGCUAAUUCCAAAGGAACUCAACAAUUUUUUGGCAGAAGUCAAAAGUGAACCUUGUAGACAAGACUAAUUCACUAUAAAAUCAAUUUCUUGAUAGCAUUGCUAUUUUAUCCAUUCUUCUUCCUUUGACUUUACACAGUCUUGAUUAUUUUGAGUUUUGUUGUAAAUAUAUUGCUCUUAGAGGAGACGGGGAAGUUUAGUAAUUUUCAGUAGGAAGACAUUUUUGUAAUAAACGGUAUACAAAAACAAAAAGGAUAAUAUUAAAUUUAUUUUCAGUAAUGAAAGACUGCCAGAAAAUUUUUUGGGAGCAUAGCAUCAUGUAUUCUUUGUAUAACAAAAACCUAAUGCACAUCGUCUUGUUAUCAAAAUAACUGUGUUGUAAAUAUAUACAAUGUAUGCACUGUCCUGGUAAUUAAUGAAGUAGGAGUACAUGCACCAUUCCACUCUUCUAUCUGUACUUCAUUAAAGUUCUUUGUUUAUAAGGAGAAAAGGAAAAAAAUUGUAAAAAAAAUAAAGAAAUUAUGGUUGAGAAAGUCUUGUGAAAGUAGUUUUUGCCAUGAUGUAGCUGAAAGCCGUCUCUUUAAAAACCUUUGGGGUUUAAGCAGGAUGUGAAUUCCUCUCCCAAGUGGGUGACCAGGGGUGGGGGGAGGGGUUGGGGGAGGCAGGAAGGGUGUGAAUUAUUGUUUUGCUCAGUAGUGGAGAUAGAAAUUUUAUUUUGCUUUGUUUUGUUUGUUUGUCUGUUUGUUGUUGUUUUUUUUUUUACUUGAAAUAAUUUAUGUCAAAUGCUUUUAGGUGAGCAUGGGAAAAUAAUUAUAAUUAUAUAUCCUGGUUUUAAAGGAUGAAUUUUCAAACUCUUAUCAAAUGGCCCCAGAAGAGAGUCUACAGCUUUCCUCUAAAUAAUGCAAGUCAGUACUGCCAGGCUACCCCUUGGCAAACACUCUGAGGACAAGGAACCUCCCCCCCUCUCCCAUUAGAAAAGAAAUACAAUAAAGUGGACGGGGUUUGAAACCUUAUAACACUGGCAUGCCUGUACACGUUUCAACGAAAUAAUUGGGAAAUUUCUAUUACAAGUUAACCAAGCCUGCUAGCACUACCCAAGGUGAUUUCUAAGUCUUGUAAGAGCUGUGCUACACAAGGAUUGGAGAACCAUACGUAAGAAAAGCAAGGGCAACGAGAAGCGAUAUUCUUGUCUUUGGCAGACUUUUCAUUCACAUUUUGACAACAAUCUAGGGAGAAAGAACCCCCCCUCCCCCCUUCCUCCGAAUCGAUGAUGGAUUCCCGCUAAGAUCAAAACCCCAUUUGAAAUUAGAAAAGGGAUGGUUUUAAAUUUUCAUUUCAAUCGUCCACGGUCCAUGGCUUUCAUGCUCAAUACGCGCAACAGAAGGAGGAAACUUUCGACUUCAGGGGCCCGUUUCUCGAAGGUCCCGAAAAGUUUUCGCACCCGGAGGGCCGUAGCAAAAUCUCAAACCAUACGAUUACAGAGCUGUUUUAUUUACAUAUUCUUAAUAUGAACAUAGGUUCCAUUCCCUACAAGAAGUCUCAGGCGUAUACACCUGUCUGUCUUUAAAUACCGGUUAACUAAAAAUGGCUUUUCAGGCCCGAAAAUUUUCUGGUGCUUUCGAGAAACAGGGCCCAGGUUAACGUUCGUGACUCCAAACUCCUUAGUCAAACAAUCCAGGAAAGGGAACCGGAACCGGAAACUCGCAUUUAAAUGUCCCGUGAUUGUGGACACGCAUCACGUCACACGUAUGUUUAAUUAAUGACACGUAUGCUGAAUUGCCACACGUUUAAUUUCACUUUUUUACCAUAAAUACAAUAAAUAAAGCAUUUUCAAAUCCACUAUGUGUCUUUUCACAAUAAAUUACUUUUUACAACAUCAAUUCCGAUAAACAUUUUAGGCAAAGCGGCCAUUUCAGUACAAGCUUCUGUUUGCUUUUUCGUCCAUGUUUCUACUUUCAAUGCUUGUAAAAAUUCUGCUUGCUGCACCGCACUAGAUCUUUCAUCACUUGGUUUACUCAAUACUGCAAAAGCUGGCGAUAAAGGCCGCAAAGUAUUUCCUUUUUAAUCUAUUUCCACUCGUCCACUAAUCCACUACGUUGCAGUGUGAAGACUCAACGUGCUGUUGUUGAGACCAUCGCCGAUAGCUCGCAAAGCUUCGCCAACUUCUCUAGAUCUCCUCUUCUCGGAGUUUGUUCGCUGCCGAACUGAUAAAGUGUUUCCAUUCUCUGUACUCUGUUCUUCUCUGCCAUGACGGCUUCUUCGACGGAAACUAAAGCUUAAGGAUCGUCUCCUCGGCUGGGGUUGGCUUGUGCUGUUAGUUCGCUUGAAAAACCUGAACCCCAUAAAUCCUG